UUCUAUACUAUGCUUCUAUAUUAUUCUCUUCUGUUUGGCACUGUAUCUGGAAUACUCUAUCUAGCUUUGGGUCUCCAGCAAAAGUCCAGUGACCAGGUUCAUCAGCAGCCUGGAGCACACAGCCCACCCAGCAUGGAGGCGCUCAGGAAGCUGGCCUUGUCUAGUUUGCAGGAGAGCAGGCUGAGGAGCAACACAACAGUACUUGACAAGGAGCCACAUAGAUGAUAGCGUGGCAAAUGACCUAACAGUGGGCAAUAGCUACAGACCGCAACCUGGGAGAUUCGGCUGGACAUCGGGAAUAACAUUUUCCCUAGAGCAGCACCAGGCCAGGGGGCCCAAUGAGGCUUUGGAGUCUCCACCAUGGGGACUUUUGAGGUUUGGCUAAUGGAGCUGUGGCUGCCCCGCUGUAGUGUGGGCAAAAGUGCUACUUAGAGCAGGAAGUUAAACUCGAUGACAUCCAGAGGUGCUUUCAAACCCACAUGUCUACUAUUCUAAUGAAGUGUAGGCCUAACUGGACAGAGCCCAUACUAUCAUAUUUUGAAAGAGACUCAUGACUAAAAGUUAAGGACAUUAUAAACACCUACUUGCAAAUAUGUUAAAAAGCUGGUGAAAAUGUCUCCUGAAGUAUUUUUGCUUUAAAUUUUUUUUUAGUAUUUUCUGUACUUAUCUGCCAGUAUAACAGUUUUGCUGUAGUCAGUUCAGCUUUUGUUUGAAUUUUUCAUCUAACAGCACAAGGUAGGAAGGGACCUAAGAGAAUAUUUAAAUCCAUAAAAGGUGCCAUACAGCUUGACUAGUAGUUACACCUGAAAUAUAAGUGUACCUCACUUUUGACUAACCCUAAAUAUAUACUUUGAAAUGUGAGCACUAUCUAACUUUAAGAACUCCAUUUAAAAUUAAAAUGGAAUAAAAUUGUUCUGAACUGAAAGUGGAGUUAUACACCUCCUCAUAUUGAUCCUCACUGAGAAAGAGCUAAAACAUAUUUAUAGCUUUGAAUGGUAGUACUUUCUUUGAAGACUGAUUCAGAGAUUUACAUAAGCAGGUCUACUCGCAUGCUUAAAGCCAGUUCUAAUUUGUGUUUUCUACCCUUCACUGCUUUAAUUUCCAUUCUUCUUUUUAAAGCUGGGAGGGAGAAGGGGCGAGAAGAGACACAAAUUACAUUUCAUUCCAGUCACAUUGUGGCUUUGCCAUCUAUAUGCUAUUCAGAUUUUAAAAUAAAACAGAACAACCCACUAGCAUAGAUCCAAACAGUAUACAUUUGCUAUUAAUGAAAAAGGCUAGAAAAAAUACGAAGCGCGUGCACUGUCCCUGGAGAAGCAAGGAAAAUAUCUAUCAUUUUCACAUAUAUUACCUACAUGCUACCCCCUGAAACAAAACAAAGCAUAAGUACACAACAAAAACCUUCAUGCCAGCAGUACUAAAGGUUGAAGAAUACUUUCUCUAUUUCAGAACCCUCUCUGGCUAAUAUCUGUCAUCUCCCCAACUCCUCCUGAACUUACUGCUUCUUUUCCAGAUCACAUAGUCUCUCUGAAUUAUUUGAGGGUCCAGGCUAUCCAGGGGUUUUCAUGUCAUAGUACAUCUAAAGGAGUGUUGAUAAUACACAUGCAAAUACACUUUUGAGGGGAAAAAAGAAAGAAUCUGCUCAUCUUGGGUCAUCCAGCAAGGUCACCAUUUCAAGGAAUCUGAAGGAAAACAUAACCACACCUGAUGGGACAUUUUUCCAUAGUUUCUGUACUUUUUUUUUUUUUUUUUUUUUUUUUUUUUUUUUUUUUUCUGGCACCAUGGCACUUGAGAUUCAGAAACGAAAUCUUGAGGGAGCUGACUGUUGUACGAGAAGCACGGGUAAAACUAGACAAAAAGCGGUGCUAGGAGAGGGAGCUGAUUCUGUAUCAGGCAACUCAGAACCGGGUAAGUUGUUGCGAGCUGUCAGUAAUGACGACGUAAUGGAGGCUUCCUGCCUUACUGAGCAUCCCUAUCAUGGAUAUAGAAAAUAUCUCAACCCAAGUUUUUUGGCUUUUUUUUUUUUUUUGGCCAGUAAAGUGCUUGCUGUGCUUCACUGCUGAAAUCACAGAAAGUUCUAAAACCAUGUUGCACUGCAGCUGCCAGACAUAAUGAUGGAGUCGGAUGCAUAGCAGUUCAGCUGGAAACUGCCAAGGGACAAACAAGGAAAAAAAAUCAGUGCUGCAUUUGCAGAUACUCACACAAUUGCAUGUUGCAUGUAAAUGGUUCAUUUCCUAUAUAUUUAUUUUAAAAUAUUGCAAUAUUAACCUAAAUUAUUUCAGUUAUAAGCUUGACAUUCUCUUCCUUGUCAGGCAGCAGCACCUUUUGAUACUUUCUGGUAGCAUGCACUAAUUAAAACUUUUUUAAAAAAAGUUUAUAUAGUAAAUGUAUAAUACAUAACUAAUAUGUUACAUAUAUAAGUAUUCUAUACAUCUUCUGUAAUGACCUGGAGCCUUAUGUCUCCAAGAUACACCUUUGCCAGUGCCAAACAACAAUCAGCUCUUCUGUGUGUGCAUAUGUUUACAUAUUUUAGCAAAAACACCAGCAGGAACACUUUUUUAUUGUAUACAUCACUUCAGAAAUGUAAAAUGAGAUAUCCACUUGGAUGAUGCGGGAGCUGGAGUAUAAUCCACUUAAUGCUACAUUUUAGCACAGUGUAAUUUUUUUUCCCCAAAUAAAUCUGAUGGCCAAUUCUAGUACAGAACAGGAAUGCAGUAAAUUAUCCCACCUCCAUCUUACAGAUAAUGGAGCAAAUCAUUACCCACUGUAACUGAGUUUUAAUUUGUUACAGCGAAAGAAGACAAUUACAGGUCAACCUGUCAAUAGAGUAAUUUGAGUAACUGAAACUAGUUGACCUUUCUGGUACACUGUUCCAGGACCAGAGUUGCUCCCCUGCUAAGCAGCAGCAGAUGGCCAGAGCUGUGCAGUUCUGCUUCCCAGUGAAAAGUAAUUUGUUUUUCGGGAUUGUUAGAUAAGUGAAGAAAGAAGAUGCAGGCAAACCCUUAUUUAAGAAUCCCAGCCCAACAAUAAAGCAUGUCCACAAAAGGGGCAAAUGAAGUGGCUGGCUGCUUGGGGUUUGGCUUAAUCAAGUUCACCUGUGGCUCAUGUGGCAGCUUGGACUCCUGCAUUAGCCUGGAGUGUCCACAUAGACCAGAGCUACACAGAAAUGCUCAUCAUAGCACGCUGCAUGCCGGAAACAGCUCAUGCCAGUGUGACAGCACAAGAAUGAGAACUGUGGAAAAAAACAUUGUGAUAGAAAAUACAAAAAUAGACAAACAUGAAGAGAGGAAAACCCAUGAAGUCAAGAAGAUUAAAAAAUUACAGGCAAAAGAAAACUUCAUUUCGUAACAGUGACAAAAAAUAAAAUUUUAAAACAAAACCCAGGGUUGUGGAAGAACAAAAGAAAAAUCUUUUAUGCUUAGUUAAAUAGUUUUUUCUUACACAUUGUGGAUUCAAAAUAGGAAAUCUGGAAGAAAACACUACAGUAAGAGUGUUACUGGUCAAUUUCCAAAAGCCAAGAAUCAAAAAAAAAUUUUUACUUCUGUCCUCAGAUAUUAAAAUGCAGGAUCUAAUUAACCCCACUAUUAGUUUGGUUUUAUUCUGUUCAAAUUUCUUUUUUGCCAGCAAGAAAAAGGAAUAACAGUGGGAUAUUAGAGGAAGUUUCUACAGAGGAACACUUAUGCUGUCCCAAAUAACUGAAUCUAUUUUUCCCCCGAUAUUCUUAAGGCAUGUGGUUUUUCAGUAUCAGCAGAUCACUUUACUAACCACCUUAAAUAUGAAUUUUCUGGAAUGUUUAUGUUGUAUAUUGAACACAGAAUGACAGUGCGUGAUAGUAUGUGCUCGUAUACUAGGUUGCCCAAAAAAUAUCUGAUGCUAAGAAAAAGAUUCAUUUCUGGAGGUAACAUUUCAGAAGUCUGUAGUUACUAAUAAUCUGGAUAUUUUCUUCUUUCAGCAUGCUGCAUUUUUUAAUGUGAUGUGAAGUUAUGCUGCCAUUUGGGCAAAUGGCAUUUGUUAAUAUGAUUGUUGAGUAUUUUUUGAAGUCAAGCAGAGCAGGUUCCCUAAAAUAACUUGUUUAAAAUGAAUUUGUAUUCAACAGUGAUCAUAAAUAAACAGAGCUUAAAAAAAAUCCACUCAUUAGUGGUGAGUGGGAAGCCACUAAUUCCCUGUUGCAGGUCCUAAGCCAACAAUUCCUGCUAGUUUUAGGCUUUCAGUUUUAAAGCUAUUAAGAUUAAUCCUUUUGAAGCAAAUAAAGCAUUUGAAAAGAAUGUAUGAAAACCAAAAGAGCGAGUUCCUGAUUCUGCAAAGACCUUACGCACUACUCACAUUUUUACCAAAUUGAAGUUUCUGAUCAAUUUUUCUGUUAUUCACUUAAAGAUAUCCAAAGAAAAAACUAAUUAUCGAUACUCCUAAUAUUCCUUAGACACAUGCACCUGAUGUGUGUACAACAUGAGAUUAGUUAAAAAAGAGGCAAAGAAAUGAAGGUCUUGUAUUGGAACCUCUUAGCUCUGAUGCAUGACCUAACGCUAGCAUUAAGUCCCUUGUUUACACUUAGCCAUCCAUGUAAGAGGCUAAUCUGGCUACAUGCACUUUUGGCAAACCCUUUCCAGACUGAUGAAUAGAUUUUCCAGAAGGAGGUGUUAACCAAACAUUUGUGAUUUGCUGGCAAUACUUACUGGGUCAAAAGCCCCAAAAGUUUUGCUUGUUGGAAUGAUGCAUCAGCUUAAAGUUAUGCUAAAAAUUCUUACUAUCAUUGACUUUAUAAGGCAUUGUGACCCAAAUUAUUGCUGUAUGUUGAAUCCCCUGCAGAGUGCUCACAGACACUAAUCUCACUAAUUCCUCUUGUGCAUGCAUAAAACUUCUCUUAGUGUAGCUCAAAAAAGCCUAUCUGUAUUAAAUUAAAUUUGUAAAGCAAAUGUCCAGGAUAAAAUGAUCAAGCUUAAUAUACAUUACAUCUGGUCUUAAUAACAAAAGACAGAAAUAGGCUAUAACAUAAACUUAACCCAUUCUAUGGUUAGCAAAUAUGGGGUUUUUUUGGGAAAAAAAGUGCUGUCAAUCACGUGGAAAGUUUGUAAGCAUGUAUAUGUGUACGUAUACAUAUAUGCCUACAUACACACACAGACAAAGUGCUGAUCUGAAAAUUAGUCACCCAAAAAUUAUGCAGCCAGUUCAUGUUGCUUUAGUUAGAAACUUUUACACACAGGUAGCAAUUGGAAGAGUCCAUUUCAGGUCUUCACUUUAAGAAAAUUCAGAAAUAUUGCAACUGAGGAGCAUUAAGGCAUUACAUACAGUCUUCGUCCUCUAACUUGGUUUUCUUUGCACAUAUGAGCCAUCUGCUUGGAGGAAAAUGGGAAAAUGUCACUUUUAAUAAACAUACAAUGCCUCUGGCAAAUUAAGAUUGUAUUUGACAAUCCUACAAAAGGAAGAGGAGGCAAGUUUGUUAAUGCUGUUUAUCUUCCAGAUCUUCAAUAGAUUUUCAACAGCCAUUAAAAUAGGCAUCUUCAAAGAACUUGUCAGGGGAAAAGUUAAAUAUGGUUAUGUGGAACAAAUUCCUUCAUACAAAGAUUCUUUUUUACAUGGUUCCUGCUCAGGAUCAUCAAUCUUUCUGCAAGAAGAGGAUAAUGUUUUGGAUCACAUUUCCUAUUGCAUUUGAAAUCAUUAUUGUUUCAUUUUGUGACAGUAUUCUCUUAAUUGUCAAACAUUACAUGUCAUUUUGCAUUUCUUAUUGUCUGAGCAAACACGUUAAACUUUGUAUUUUAAAUCAUUCAUCUUGAAAGCAAAAGCAUACAUGGACUUUUAACAGACUAUGCAAAUACAAAAUUAUGCCAGAAUCUGGUAACAUAUAAUGAAAUUAUUAUUAAUGGGCAUUUUUUUAAAAAUCAGCACAAGAAUUGUUACUGUUGUUAAGUAACAAUUAUGCCUUGAGAACAGAGCAUAGGAUAUAAUGAAUUUGUGAGGUCUCAAUAUGCUACAGUGUCUGCCAAAACCACUCUUUCACCUUCUACCAAAACCUUUGAUCUAAGUUUUAUUAUAAUUUCCACUUUAUAAAAGAAUUUAUAUUUCUUAUACAUUUAUGAAAAUUAAGUUUGCAUUAAACCAAAAUAGCAGGAUGAGAAAAAUGUUGAAAUCAGCUCUGGUUCCACGUUAUCUGUGCAUCUGGACUUAGAUCUCUGCAAUCCAACCAUCAGCCCGCAAACUACUGAACAGCAGCCUCUGAAAAGGAAAACUUCUGCCCACAGUAAACCUCGCUUGCACUGAAAUUGCUCCCAGAAGAGCAGAGAACAACUUAGGAAAAGAUUUUCCUUUGACAAAGAACUCGACUAAAAACACUUCCAUUUUAAAACCACACUGAAAUUCUCAGAAAAUAUUCUCAGACCAAAAGCAAAACCUAAAAAAAGAUACCCUGGACAUUCCCAAAAUAGAAAGACAAGUUUUCUGUUGCUGGCAGGUGAAUUGGUGCAAGAGCCUAGCACUGCAACCUGCUGAUGUAAUUGCUCUUCUAGCAGCUCAGUAAGCUUGUAAUUCUGAUGCCAAAAGAUCCAGUUUCAGCCUCCAAAACCAGACCUGAAGGAAGCUGCACAAGGAAACUACAAAGGAGAAACCUACUGCCCCCAAGGGAGCAGGGGGAGCAGGCAUAAAGUUUUCCUGGAAAGAUUUUAACUUGUAAGGGGGCACAAUGAUGCAGGCACUUCUGGAUGUUGCUGGUACUGUCAGACUUGCCCUUUGUUUUCCUAGUUUUUGGUCUGGACAAUACAUCCUUUCUGAUAACCAGUGGAUUAUCUCUGUCCUUCCCAUUCUCCUUCCAUCAUCAGCUCACCUCUGAGUGACUGAGAAAUCAGGAGAUCCCCUUUAGUGGGAAAUAAACUCCUAUUUAGGGCCUCUAAUACCUGUCUUUAAAAUUACAACAUUCUGGACACCAAAGCUGCUUCAAAAUACACCAUUCUAACUGCAUACAAAAGUAAACCAAGUUCUGGUCAAAAACAGAGUUGUAACCAACUUUGAACCAUCUUUCUGUAUUACCUCACAUAUACGUCCAGAAAGAAAAAAUAUUCUAAACAAGUUCCUUAAAGGUGUUUGAAGGUCUGAAGCCAGCUCUGACACUAUUUUAUAUUAAUUUAAUUUUAUUUUAUUUAAUUUUAAUAAAUGCUACAAUACUUUAUUUUACAAUAAAUGCUACAAAAUAUAUAUACACUAUAUAUCAUGUAUAUACCAUACUAUUAUUAUAUCUUAUGACAUAUCAAUACAUUAGUGAGAAGACAAUACACCAUUAAGUGCAUUAUAAAUGACAAAAAAAGUUCAUGAGAGCAGUGUGGCAAAUGCCUCUGCUUAAACCUCUGGCUACCAUAUCUACUCUCUGCCCAUUACUUUUAUCUUAUGGGUAAAGAAAGACUCGGACCUUCUACGCAGCUAUCUGGUAACCUUCUAUAUUUUUCAUUUAGAUAACAUUAAACUUGACUUAACACUAAACACAUGACUUUACAUGAUAAAAGCCAUUUCUAUGGAGAUGUAGGACUUUAAAAGGUGAUGUAGUUAGUUCCCUGAAGAAGUGUCUUUUGUUAUAUAGAUCUUUAUAUAAAAAUCAAUACAGAUUAAGCCAACUAUGCAGAUCAGAUUAUA
Athene cunicularia (burrowing owl) is the source of this 7611-nucleotide long non-coding RNA. RefSeq lists it as uncharacterized. NCBI's taxonomy places the organism in Eukaryota, Metazoa, Chordata, Aves, Strigiformes, Strigidae. The record is from RefSeq and is a predicted model, not a curated record. The transcript is spliced from 3 exons.